UCUAAUGCCUUCAAAUUUACCAAUUUUUGUGAAACCAUCUGUUAGUAUUUGCAGUUUUACCUGGUAACCAUUCCUGUCAAGCCUAAUGUACGUGCAGGUUCAACACCUGAAACAACACAAGAGCCUCUGUCAGAGCUGACAGCAGUGCCCACACCGAUGCUCUGCUUAGGAAAUGAGGGUGGGUUGCCGCAGUUUCCACUCCUGAGUAAUUGCCAGGACACCUUUGAGACUCACAUUCUCUUGAAGCUAUGAUACUUCAGCAAAGCACUUGAGGUAAGGAGCAUGGCAAGCCAUAAGGGUUGAGCACUUGGCAGGGACAGACCUUUUUGGAUUAAACAGCUAUUAAGCAACGGUUUUGUGAAGAGGCUUCUCCAGGAACUGCCCCAACUUAGGCUCAGCUGCCUAAGUUUAAGCUGCCUUUCCUCAUCCUCUCUGGGCCUGCAGUUUUUCAGUCAUAGCUACAGUGCCAGAAAGCUCCAGCAGGAGCACGGCUCUGCCUCCUUGCCCACAGUCAACAAGCAGCUGGAGGCAGAAGACAACAAAUUUGCACCCCUCAGAUUCAUUGUUUUUUGGAGAAGAUGGCAAAAGGGAGGAGUGGGCACACACCUUCCAUCACAGGGAGGCAGCUUGAGAUCAGGGCAGAAAGCCAGGCUGCCAGAAAACCUGGUUCAGUUCUGUCUUUGGCCUACGCACACUUGGUCCCACCAUGGCCUAACAGCUUUUCCAAACAGUAGGAUUGUGGGGAUUUACCUCUUGAUUUCAGGGAAGAGAGGAGUAAACUAAAAUCAUCAUCUACCAUUUCUUUCACGUGUAAAAUGAGUGCAUCAUCCUGCCCCAUGCCAUCCACCCAUGGAGCAGCAGUCCACCAGGCCGCAGCCAUUCCUCACCAGGGCACAGGGCCACGCUGCCGGGCUGAGCGGGGCAGGGAGUGGAGAGGCCCUGCCCUUAGCACAAGGCAGGAACACCACAUGCUACUGUCAGCCCCCUGCACAUCCUGGUGUGCUGCCCACCUUCUGGGAGUAAAGAACUUCAGUCUUUGACAAAGUUGGGAUUGAAGAGAAAAGGCUCAUUCUCCUUCAGAGCUCGUUUAUCCUGCU
This 1097-nucleotide long non-coding RNA is filed under the name Gallus gallus (chicken). RNAcentral describes it as "long non-coding RNA NONGGAT003792". The record is from RNAcentral. Lineage: Eukaryota; Metazoa; Chordata; Aves; Galliformes; Phasianidae.